Molecule: ribosomal RNA, 1502 nt
Filed under: Escherichia coli
Lineage: Bacteria; Pseudomonadati; Pseudomonadota; Gammaproteobacteria; Enterobacterales; Enterobacteriaceae
Description: partial 23S ribosomal RNA
Rfam family: Bacterial large subunit ribosomal RNA
Source: RNAcentral
GAUAAAGCGGGUGAAAAGCCCGCUCGCCGGAAGACCAAGGGUUCCUGUCCAACGUUAAUCGGGGCAGGGUGAGUCGACCCCUAAGGCGAGGCCGAAAGGCGUAGUCGAUGGGAAACAGGUUAAUAUUCCUGUACUUGGUGUUACUGCGAAGGGGGGACGGAGAAGGCUAUGUUGGCCGGGCGACGGUUGUCCCGGUUUAAGCGUGUAGGCUGGUUUUCCAGGCAAAUCCGGAAAAUCAAGGCUGAGGCGUGAUGACGAGGCACUGCGGUGCUGAAGCAACAAAUGCCCUGCUUCCAGGAAAAGCCUCUAAGCAUCAGGUAACAUCAAAUCGUACCCCAAACCGACACAGGUGGUCAGGUAGAGAAUACCAAGGCGCUUGAGAGAACUCGGGUGAAGGAACUAGGCAAAAUGGUGCCGUAACUUCGGGAGAAGGCACGCUGAUAUGUAGGUGAAGUCCCUCGCGGAUGGAGCUGAAAUCAGUCGAAGAUACCAGCUGGCUGCAACUGUUUAUUAAAAACACAGCACUGUGCAAACACGAAAGUGGACGUAUACGGUGUGACGCCUGCCCGGUGCCGGAAGGUUAAUUGAUGGGGUUAGCGCAAGCGAAGCUCUUGAUCGAAGCCCCGGUAAACGGCGGCCGUAACUAUAACGGUCCUAAGGUAGCGAAAUUCCUUGUCGGGUAAGUUCCGACCUGCACGAAUGGCGUAAUGAUGGCCAGGCUGUCUCCACCCGAGACUCAGUGAAAUUGAACUCGCUGUGAAGAUGCAGUGUACCCGCGGCAAGACGGAAAGACCCCGUGAACCUUUACUAUAGCUUGACACUGAACAUUGAGCCUUGAUGUGUAGGAUAGGUGGGAGGCUUUGAAGUGUGGACGCCAGUCUGCAUGGAGCCGACCUUGAAAUACCACCCUUUAAUGUUUGAUGUUCUAACGUUGACCCGUAAUCCGGGUUGCGGACAGUGUCUGGUGGGUAGUUUGACUGGGGCGGUCUCCUCCUAAAGAGUAACGGAGGAGCACGAAGGUUGGCUAAUCCUGGUCGGACAUCAGGAGGUUAGUGCAAUGGCAUAAGCCAGCUUGACUGCGAGCGUGACGGCGCGAGCAGGUGCGAAAGCAGGUCAUAGUGAUCCGGUGGUUCUGAAUGGAAGGGCCAUCGCUCAACGGAUAAAAGGUACUCCGGGGAUAACAGGCUGAUACCGCCCAAGAGUUCAUAUCGACGGCGGUGUUUGGCACCUCGAUGUCGGCUCAUCACAUCCUGGGGCUGAAGUAGGUCCCAAGGGUAUGGCUGUUCGCCAUUUAAAGUGGUACGCGAGCUGGGUUUAGAACGUCGUGAGACAGUUCGGUCCCUAUCUGCCGUGGGCGCUGGAGAACUGAGGGGGGCUGCUCCUAGUACGAGAGGACCGGAGUGGACGCAUCACUGGUGUUCGGGUUGUCAUGCCAAUGGCACUGCCCGGUAGCUAAAUGCGGAAGAGAUAAGUGCUGAAAGCAUCUAAGCACGAAACUUGCC